CAAAAGCAGUGAAACUCUCAAACAUAAGGGAAGAGAAUGUUUAUGUCGUUGAGUCAGAUGGUUGAAGAGAUGGCCAAUAUGCACCAAUCUUUCAAUGAAGAAAGAAUGAAGAUGCAGCAGGUUGAACGUGAUUAUUAUAGCGGGAAGAGGUGAAAAAUCUGACAGGUGAAGUGGAGGUUAAGAAGAGGAAACUUGAAUGCUGGAGC
Molecule: unclassified non-coding RNA, 206 nt
Filed under: Hevea brasiliensis (rubber tree)
Lineage: Eukaryota; Viridiplantae; Streptophyta; Magnoliopsida; Malpighiales; Euphorbiaceae
Source: RNAcentral